This 490-nucleotide ribosomal RNA is filed under the name uncultured bacterium. Its description in RNAcentral is "partial 16S ribosomal RNA". It matches the Rfam family "Bacterial small subunit ribosomal RNA", at positions 29 to 507 of the family's 1533-position model. The record is from RNAcentral.
AGUGAACGCUGGCGGCAGGCCUAAUACAUGCAAGUCGAACGGCAGCACAGUGGAGCUUGCUCCAUGGGUGGCGAGUGGCGGACGGGUGAGGAAUACAUGGGAAUCUGCCCAGUCGUGGGGGAUAACGUAGGGAAACUUACGCUAAUACCGCAUGCGCCCUUCGGGGGAAAGCCGGGGACCUUCAGGCCUGGCGCGAUUGGAUGAGCCCAUGUUCGAUUAGCUAGUUGGCGGGGUAAAGGCCCACCAAGGCGACGAUCGAUAGCUGGUCUGAGAGGAUGAUCAGCCACACUGGGACUGAGACACGGCCCAGACUCCUACGGGAGGCAGCAGUAGGGAAUAUUGGACAAUGGGCGCAAGCCUGAUCCAGCCAUGCCGCGUGAGUGAAGAAGGCCCUCGGGUUGUAAAGCUCUUUUGUCCGGGAAGAAAAGCAUCGGGCUAAUACCUCGGUGUUCUGACGGUACCGGAAGAAUAAGCACCGGCUAACUUCGUG